GAUGAACGCUGGCGGCGUGCCUAAUACAUGCAAGUCGAGCGAACAGACGAGGAGCUUGCUCCUCUGACGUUAGCGGCGGACGGGUGAGUAACACGUGGAUAACCUACCUAUAAGACUGGGAUAACUUCGGGAAACCGGAGCUAAUACCGGAUAAUAUAUUUAACCGCAUGUUUCAAUAGUGAAAGACGGUUUUGCUGUCACUUAUAGAUGGAUCCGCGCCGCAUUAGCUAGUUGGUAAGGUAACGGCUUACCAAGGCAACGAUGCGUAGCCGACCUGAGAGGGUGAUCGGCCACACUGGGACUGAGACACGGUCCAGACUCUUACGGGAGGCAGCAGUAGGGAAUCUUCCGCAAUGAGCGAAAGCCUGACGGAGCAACGCCGCGUGAGUGAUGAAGGUAUUCGGAUCGUAAAACUCUGUUAUUAGGGAAGAACAAAUGUGUAAGUAACUAUGCACGUCUUGACGGUACCUAAUCAGAAAGCCACGGCUAACUACGUG
Molecule: ribosomal RNA, 497 nt
Filed under: uncultured bacterium
Lineage: Bacteria
Description: partial 16S ribosomal RNA
Rfam family: Bacterial small subunit ribosomal RNA
Source: RNAcentral